RNAcentral lists this ribosomal RNA (253 nucleotides) under Anaerobutyricum hallii. Its description in RNAcentral is "partial 16S ribosomal RNA". It matches the Rfam family "Bacterial small subunit ribosomal RNA", at positions 524 to 776 of the family's 1533-position model. Lineage: Bacteria; Bacillati; Bacillota; Clostridia; Lachnospirales; Lachnospiraceae. The record is from RNAcentral.
UACGUAUGGAGCAAGCGUUACCCGGAUUUACUGGGUGUAAAGGGUGCGUAGGUGGCAGUGCAAGUCAGAUGUGAAAGGCCGGGGCUCAACCCCGGAGCUGCAUUUGAAACUGCAUAGCUGGAGUACAGGAGAGGCAGGCGGAAUUCCUAGUGUAGCGGUGAAAUGCGUAGAUAUUAGGAGGAACACCAGUGGCGAAGGCGGCCUGCUGGACUGUUACUGACACUGAGGCACGAAAGCGUGGGGAGCAAACAGG